GCCAUCUGGGGAUCACUCCCAGAGGAGAUUUGAUCAAUCGGGGAGUUCCGGGGUGGGGUGACCCAUCCAGAAGUGGGACAUGUGACCCCUCUAACAACUCCUCCCACCUCCCUUUACCAACCAGGAGGGGUUUCAGCUGCUGGGGACUACCCCAAGAGGAGAUUUGACCAAUCGGGGAGGAAUUCAGGGGCGGGGUGACCUGUCCAGAAGUGUUUUGUGUGACCUUUCUAAGAACUCCUCCCAUCGCU
Molecule: non-coding RNA, 248 nt
Organism: Chelonoidis abingdonii (Abingdon island giant tortoise)
Lineage: Eukaryota; Metazoa; Chordata; Testudines; Testudinidae
Source: RefSeq, a predicted model, not a curated record